This 45-nucleotide non-coding RNA is filed under the name Schistosoma curassoni. The record is from RNAcentral. Lineage: Eukaryota; Metazoa; Platyhelminthes; Trematoda; Strigeidida; Schistosomatidae.
GUCCAUCUGACGAGUCUCAAAUAGGAUGAAACGCGCGUCCUGGAU